UGGAAGGUGGCUCAGUGAUAGAGCGCUUGCCUUGCAUGCAUGAGGUCCUGGGUUCAAUUCCCCAGCAUCACAU
Dipodomys ordii (Ord's kangaroo rat) is the source of this 73-nucleotide non-coding RNA. The record is from Rfam. Lineage: Eukaryota; Metazoa; Chordata; Mammalia; Rodentia; Heteromyidae.